AUUGAACGCUGGCGGAAUGCUUUACACAUGCAAGUCGAACGGCAGCACGGGGGCAACCCUGGUGGCGAGUGGCGAACGGGUGAGUAAUACAUCGGAACGUGCCCGGUCGUGGGGGAUAACGUAGCGAAAGUUACGCUAAUACCGCAUACGAUCUGAGGAUGAAAGCGGGGGACCUUCGGGCCUCGCGCGAUCGGAGCGGCCGAUGUCAGAUUAGGUAGUUGGUGGGGUAAAGGCCUACCAAGCCGACGAUCUGUAGCUGGUCUGAGAGGACGACCAGCCACACUGGGACUGAGACACGGCCCAGACUCCUACGGGAGGCAGCAGUGGGGAAUUUUGGACAAUGGGCGCAAGCCUGAUCCAGCCAUUCCGCGUGCAGGACGAAGGCCUUCGGGUUGUAAACUGCUUUUGUAUGGAACGAAAAGGCUCUGGCUAAUACCUGGGGCUCAUGACGGUACCGUAAGAAUAAGCACCGGCCAACUACGUG
Molecule: ribosomal RNA, 484 nt
Filed under: uncultured bacterium
Lineage: Bacteria
Description: partial 16S ribosomal RNA
Rfam family: Bacterial small subunit ribosomal RNA
Source: RNAcentral